This 208-nucleotide long non-coding RNA is filed under the name Gallus gallus (chicken). Lineage: Eukaryota; Metazoa; Chordata; Aves; Galliformes; Phasianidae. The record is from RNAcentral.
UCCUUAUGUUGUGCAUUUAGCAGUUCCUUCUCAAGUUCCUCCUUUUCAUUCCUAAGUUUAAGAUUUUCUUCUUUAAGAAGUUGGAGAUCUAGUAUAAAUGCCUGAACAUCUUCUGCCAUAUAAGCAGGAUUGUCAGCCUGAUUUAAACUUGAAAGCCUUGCUAUUUCUCUUUCUGCUUCUAUAAAGGAAAACAAAACAUAGUUUUACU